GAAGUCCUGUUGAUUUUAUAAUAUGUAUAAACUCAAGUUAACCUUCAAAUAUGGUUUUAUAUUUGCAAUAAUUUUUUAAAAAUCUUAACGUAUGUAUUACGUAAAGUUAUCUAUAUUAAAUAAAGUACGUUUGCGAGUGCAGCAUGAUACGAUAUUAUUAAAGUAAAAAUCAUGAAUUAUUCCAAUGUAUAAUACUAUAGUUCUGAAAUUGUUUCGUAUUACCAAGGCAUCGAUAAAACGAGAUUUUGUACAUCAAUCGAUUAUAUUUCGAUCUAUUUUAUAUUCUUAUUUCAAUAGAUACAAUUUUAAUGGUAACAUUAAAUAUUUUGCAAAUAUGUCCAUAAAAUGUUUUCAAGGUCACAAUGACAAUUAUAAUGGUGUAACUAUACAUUCCAUCGAAGAACCUUGUCUGAUUACAGUAUUUCCUCAAUAUUUACAAGAUUCCUUAAAAAUUUGGUCAGAACAAAAGAAACGGACAAUUUGGUUUCGCGUACACUUGUCACACUCUGAAUGGAUACCGAUUUUAGUACAAAAUGGUUUUAAAUUUCAUCAUGCACGAGAAGAAUAUGUUAUGCUAUAUUACUGGUUAAACAAAGAAACAGUCUGUAAUAUUCCACCUUAUGCUCAUACAAAUUUGGGAGUAGGAGCAUUUGUUUUUAAUGAAAAAACUUCAGAGAUAUUAGUUGUAAAGGAAAAAAAUGUCAAAGGCCGUCUGUUUUGGAAACUACCAGGUGGUUAUAUUGAACCAGGAGAAAAUAUAGACGAAGCUGCACAAAGGGAAGUGUUAGAAGAGACAGGUAUUCAAACAAUGUUCAAAUGUCUUGUAGCAUUUAGACAUUCACAUAAUGCUGCCUUUGAUUGUUCAGAUAUAUACAUGAUAGCUUAUUUAACACCUCGUACUUUUGAUAUUACGAAGUGUCAAGUAGAGAUUUCUGAAUGUAAAUGGAUAAAGAAAUGAAAAACUUAACAUAGGAACAAAAAUGAAUGCUAUAUAAUUAUUAUGUUAUGAUUAUAUGCAUAUAAUCAUAUGCUAACUCUUGCAACAGAGUGAACUAUCUGUGAUAUAAAUGAAAAUAUUAUAAGCAGUAAUGACUCAAAUCUAAUCAAUAUAUUACCGUACGCCCAAAAACGAUCUACCAUAAAGAUUGUUAGGAGGCAUCAAGAUGCAUCAUUUACAAAAAAUACAAAGUUCAGAAGUUUUAGAAGUUCAAGUAAAUUUUAUGUUUCUCUCAAUGAAUAUUUACAUCAUCCAGAAGUACAUGAAAAUAA
This is an RNA transcript of Polistes canadensis, 1269 nucleotides long. It is a transcript of the gene named nudix hydrolase 7, with no coding region annotated. The transcript has 5 exons. The record is from RefSeq and is a predicted model, not a curated record. Lineage: Eukaryota; Metazoa; Arthropoda; Insecta; Hymenoptera; Vespidae.